GCCAUCUGCUGUUCAGAUUAGAUAAUCCCUUGAAGCUGAGCUGGUUUUGGCCUGGCCAGUAUAUGGUUGGGAGACCGAAUAUGAAAGCUGGGUUGCUGCUGGAA
RNAcentral lists this ribosomal RNA (104 nucleotides) under Paramormyrops kingsleyae. Lineage: Eukaryota; Metazoa; Chordata; Actinopteri; Osteoglossiformes; Mormyridae. The record is from RNAcentral.